This 513-nucleotide ribosomal RNA is filed under the name uncultured bacterium. RNAcentral's name for it is "partial 16S ribosomal RNA". It matches the Rfam family "Bacterial small subunit ribosomal RNA", at positions 28 to 523 of the family's 1533-position model. The record is from RNAcentral.
GAUGAACGCUGGCGGCGUGCCUAAUACAUGCAAGUCGAGCGAACAGACGAGGAGCUUGCUCCUCUAACGUUAGCGGCGGACGGGUGAGUAACACGUGGAUAACCUACCUAUAAGACUGGGAUAACUUCGGGAAACCGGAGCUAAUACCGGAUAAUAUAUUGAACCGCAUGGUUCAAUAGUGAAUGACGGUUUUGCUGUCACUUAUAGAUGGAUCCGCGCCGCAUUAGCUAGUUGGUAAGGUAACAGCUUACCAAGGCAACGAUGCGUAGCCGACCUGAGAGGGUGAUCGGCCACACUGGAACCGAGACACGGUCCAGACUCCUACGGGAGGCAGCAGUAGGGAAUCUUCCGCAAUGGGCGAAAGCCUGACGGAGCAACGCCGCGUGAGUGAUGAAGGUCUUCGGAUCGUAAAACUCUGUUAUUAGGGAAGAACAAAUGUGUAAGUAACUAUGCACGUCUUGACGGUACCUAAUCAGAAAGCCACGGCUAACUACGUGCCAGCAGCCGCGGUAA